Molecule: ribosomal RNA, 229 nt
Filed under: uncultured bacterium
Lineage: Bacteria
Description: partial 16S ribosomal RNA
Rfam family: Bacterial small subunit ribosomal RNA
Source: RNAcentral
CGUGUAGGCGGCUUGGUAAGUCAGAUGUGAAAGCCCAGGGCUCAACCCUGGAAGUGCAUUUGAUACUGCCGAGCUUGAGUAUGGGAGAGGAAAGCGGAAUUCCCAGUGUAGAGGUGAAAUUCGUAGAUAUUGGGAGGAACACCCGUGGCGAAGGCGGCUCUCUGGACCAAUACUGACGCUGAGACGCGAAAGCGUGGGGAGCAAACAGGAUUAGAUACCCUGGUAGUCC